Molecule: ribosomal RNA, 607 nt
Filed under: uncultured bacterium
Lineage: Bacteria
Description: bacterial SSU rRNA
Rfam family: Bacterial small subunit ribosomal RNA (bases 1-517)
Source: RNAcentral
CCUACGGGAGGCAGCAGUGGGGAAUAUUGGACAAUGGGCGAAAGCCUGAUCCAGCAAUGCCGCGUGAGUGAAGAAGGCCUUCGGGUUGUAAAGCUCUUUUACCCGGGAAGAUAAUGACUGUACCGGGAGAAUAAGCUCCGGCUAACUCCGUGCCAGCAGCCGCGGUAAUACGGAGGGAGCUAGCGUUGUUCGGAAUUACUGGGCGUAAAGCGUACGUAGGCGGCUUGGUAAGUCAGAGGUGAAAGCCCACGACUCAAUCGUGGAACUGCCUUUGAGACUGCUUCGCUUGAAGAUGGGAGAGGUUAGUGGAAUUCCGAGUGUAGAGGUGAAAUUCGUAGAUAUUCGGAAGAACACCAGUGGCGAAGGCGGCUAACUGGACCAUUCUUGACGCUGAGGUACGAAAGCGUGGGAGCAAACAGGAUUAGAUACCCUGGUAGUCCACGCCGUAAACGAUGAUAACUAGCUGUCGGGGCUCUUGGAGCUUCGGUGGCGCGAGCUACGCAUUAAGUUAUCCGUCCGUCGGGUAGGUACGGCCGCGAACGGUUAAACGUUAAAACGGUAAGUUAGUACGGACGUGAGACGUAGCGACGACGACGACGAGGGAGAG